This 75-nucleotide transfer RNA is filed under the name Aliidongia dinghuensis. RNAcentral's name for it is "tRNA-Asn". It matches the Rfam family "tRNA". From Rfam's summary of the family: Transfer RNA (tRNA) molecules are approximately 80 nucleotides in length. Their secondary structure includes four short double-helical elements and three loops (D, anti-codon, and T loops). Further hydrogen bonds mediate the characteristic L-shaped molecular structure. tRNAs have two regions of fundamental functional importance: the anti-codon, which is responsible for specific mRNA codon recognition, and the 3' end, to which the tRNAs corresponding amino acid is attached (by aminoacyl-tRNA synthetases). tRNAs cope with the degeneracy of the genetic code in two manners: having more than one tRNA (with a specific anti-codon) for a particular amino acid; and 'wobble' base-pairing, i.e. permitting non-standard base-pairing at the 3rd anti-codon position. RNAcentral also lists the same sequence under 9 other names. The record is from RNAcentral. Lineage: Bacteria; Pseudomonadati; Pseudomonadota; Alphaproteobacteria; Rhodospirillales; Dongiaceae.
UCCGGGGUAGCUCAGCGGUAGAGCAAUCGGCUGUUAACCGAUCGGUCGUCGGUUCGAAUCCGACCCCCGGAGCCA